Electrophorus electricus (electric eel) is the source of this 432-nucleotide long non-coding RNA. RefSeq lists it as uncharacterized. NCBI's taxonomy places the organism in Eukaryota, Metazoa, Chordata, Actinopteri, Gymnotiformes, Gymnotidae. The record is from RefSeq and is a predicted model, not a curated record.
GGGUUUAAGCCAUGGGAUGCUCACAAUAGAUGGAACAGUGCUGUGAUUUUAUGUUCAAACUGUUACAGUUUCAGCCUUCUGGAGCUUCAGUAAGAAAACAGGCAUGAACCCAUGGCUGUAAUUCAUGUGAAAUAUUUGCACACAUAAAAACAAGACCAUGAAACAGGAAAAGAAUAUGGAAUUUGACUAACAGGUCACAGUGAUCUGCAGGCUGCAGGCAAGAAGAUCAGUCCAGACUUCUCUAUUCCUGUGACAGAUUCCAGCUCCUCCUAUGGGAGGCCCACGCAUUCCCAGGCCAGCUGUGAGAUAUAAUCAGUCCAGCAGGUCCUGGUCUCCUUCUGGGUUUCCUUCCAAUGGGAUGUGCCUGGAACAGCUGUAGUGGGAGCCAACCAGGGGGAAUCAUGAGAUGCCCAAACGUCUUCAGUCAUCACA